RNAcentral lists this ribosomal RNA (68 nucleotides) under Gleditsia sp. yellows phytoplasma. Its description in RNAcentral is "partial 23S ribosomal RNA". The record is from RNAcentral. Lineage: Bacteria; Bacillati; Mycoplasmatota; Mollicutes; Acholeplasmatales; Acholeplasmataceae.
GUUGAAGAAAGUAAGGGCGUACAGUGAAUGCCUUGGCACUAAGAGCCGAUGGAGGACGGAAUUCGCCU